GUGACACGCUGAGCUGCCCGGGGGGCAAGAGUCACGUGAUGGCCCAGCCUGGCCCUUCUGCGAAGUCGCCUGGUGGGGAGGAGGCUCGGGUGAAGCCCGCUGCCAGCUGCUUCGGGAACGGCUGUCAAGACCAGCUCCUUGAGGAGGAGACGCUGACAGCCGGGCAGCCUCCCAAGGCCGCUGGCUGGGGCCUGAGGAUCCAGGCAGUGGGUCUCAGCAGCUCUCCUCAAGGGACGUGCACCCAGGGCCUCUUGGGGUGUCCGAGUUACUGCCUGAGUGGACGCUGUGACGGUGCAGACUCUGGGGAGGUCACGUGCCUUCAGCUGGCUCUUACAUCUGUGGGCCAAGACUCGGCAGCCACUUGUCUCCCCCUUGCAGUAGCUGUGGGAAAGGCCAGAGUCCUCCCCCCAGAGCCGGGCCACCGCUGAAGGAGGGACACCGACCAGCAAAGAGCUGCUGCCUCUGUCCAGGGAGAGAGCGGGGUGGACCAAGGUUGGAGGCAGAACCCACCCUGCGGAUGGAGUGGCAGGUGGGGCCUCAGCCGGGGAGCCCUGUGCCUCGGGUGUGUGGG
RNAcentral lists this long non-coding RNA (571 nucleotides) under Bos indicus x Bos taurus (hybrid cattle). Its description in RNAcentral is "lncRNA (ENSBIXG00000009727.1)". Lineage: Eukaryota; Metazoa; Chordata; Mammalia; Artiodactyla; Bovidae. The record is from RNAcentral.